Molecule: ribosomal RNA, 253 nt
Filed under: uncultured bacterium
Lineage: Bacteria
Description: partial 16S ribosomal RNA
Rfam family: Bacterial small subunit ribosomal RNA
Source: RNAcentral
UACAGAGGGGGCAAGCGUUGUUCGGAAUUACUGGGCGUAAAGGGCGCGUAGGCGGCCUGCUAAGUCGAACGUGAAAUCCCUGGGCUCAACCCGGGAACUGCAUCUGAAACUGCAGGCCUUGAGUACUGGAGAGGGUGGCGGAAUUCCUGGUGUAGAGGUGAAAUUCGUAGAUAUCAGGAGGAACACCGGUGGCGAAGGCGGCCACCUGGACAGUUACUGACGCUGAGAUGCGAAAGCGUGGGGAGCAAACAGG